CUACGGGGUGCACCAGUGAGGAAUAUUGCACAAUGGGGGGAACCCUGAUGCAGCAACGCCGCGUGGAGGAUGACGCAUUUCGGUGUGUAAACUCCUUUUAUAUGUCAAGAAAAUGACGGUAGCAUAUGAAUAAGCACCGGCUAACUCCGUGCGCAGCAGCCGCGGUAAUACGGGGGGUGCAAGCGUUGCUCGGAAUCACUGGGCGUAAAGGACGCGUAGGCGGGUUGGAAAGUCAGGUGUGAAAUCCUACAGCUUAACUGUAGAACUGCACUUGAAACUUCUAAUCUAGAGUAUGGGAGGGGGAGAUGGAAUUAGUGGUGUAGGGGUAAAAUCCGUAGAUAUCACUAGGAAUACCUAAAGCGAAGGCGAUCUCCUGGAACAUUACUGACGCUAAGGCGUGAAAGCGUGGGGAGCAAACAGGAUUAGAUACCCUGGUAGUC
RNAcentral lists this ribosomal RNA (440 nucleotides) under uncultured bacterium. RNAcentral describes it as "partial 16S ribosomal RNA". It matches the Rfam family "Bacterial small subunit ribosomal RNA", at positions 339 to 795 of the family's 1533-position model. The record is from RNAcentral.